GGUAUGACCACUGCCCUUGGAAGUAAAUUCCUAUUGCUGAAGACAUUGCCCACUUUGGACUUGGAAGGAGUUGAAGGAGUUGACCUGGAAGUCUCACUACUCACGGUGACUAGAUAGUGCCAUAAAAUGAAAAGCUGUGGAUUCCUUCCAGACUAAUAUGGUUUGAUCAAGCAAGACCCCCUGAAGCUGAGAUGAUACAGCCUUACAGACUACAAAAACAAGGACUUGAUCAGAAUGCUCCACAGUCCGAGGAUUAUUUCGUUGCUUGCCGGCUGGGAACCUCGCUGAAGCUGGCAUGGGAGCAGAGCGGGGUAAACACGUGUGUUCAUAAUAACCACUCCAGAUCACCGAGCAUCGUCUAAGGUCAGGCCCUUUGCCAAGCGCUGCACCUACUUGAUUUCACCUAAUGGAAGCCAGAACCUGGAAGCAACCUAGAUGCCCUCAACUGAAGAAUGAAUACAGAAAAU
Molecule: long non-coding RNA, 467 nt
Filed under: Cricetulus griseus (Chinese hamster)
Lineage: Eukaryota; Metazoa; Chordata; Mammalia; Rodentia; Cricetidae
Description: lncRNA (ENSCGRG00015042670.1)
Source: RNAcentral